RNAcentral lists this ribosomal RNA (252 nucleotides) under uncultured bacterium. RNAcentral describes it as "partial 16S ribosomal RNA". It matches the Rfam family "Bacterial small subunit ribosomal RNA", at positions 524 to 776 of the family's 1533-position model. The record is from RNAcentral.
UACGGAGGAUGCGAGCGUUAUCCGGAUUUAUUGGGUUUAAAGGGUGCGUAGGCGGGAUGCCAAGUCAGCGGUAAUAAUGCGGUGCUCAACGCCGUCGAGCCAUUGAAACUGGCGUUCCUGAGUGGGCGAGAAGUAUGCGGAAUGCGUGGUGUAGCGGUGAAAUGCAUAGAUAUCACGCAGAACUCCGAUUGCGAAGGCAGCAUACCGGCGCCCUACUGACGCUGAGGCACGAAAGCGUGGGUAUCGAACAGG